UGCAGCAACGCCGCGUGAGGGAUGACGGCCUUCGGGUUGUAAACCUCUUUUAGUAGGGAAGAAGCGAAAGUGACGGUACCUGCAGAAAAAGCACCGGCUAACUACGUGCCAGCAGCCGCGGUAAUACGUAGGGUGCAAGCGUUGUCCGGAAUUAUUGGGCGUAAAGAGCUCGUAGGCGGUUUGUCGCGUCUGCUGUGAAAUCUGGGGGCUCAACCCCCAGCCUGCAGUGGGUACGGGCAGACUAGAGUGCGGUAGGGGAGAUUGGAAUUCCUGGUGUAGCGGUGGAAUGCGCAGAUAUCAGGAGGAACACCGAUGGCGAAGGCAGAUCUCUGGGCCGUAACUGACGCUGAGGAGCGAAAGCAUGGGGAGCGAACAGGAUUAGAUACCCUGGUAGUCCAUGCCGUAAACGUUGGGAACUAGAUGUGGGGGCCAUUCCACGGUCUCCGUGUCGCAGCUAACGCAUUAAGUUCCCCGCCUGGGGAGUACGGCCGCAAGGCUAAAACUCAAAGGAAUUGACGGGGGCCCGCACAAGCGGCGGAGCAUGCGGAUUAAUUCGAUGCAACGCGAAGAACCUUACCAAGGCUUGACAUAUACCGGAAACGUCCAGAGAUGGUCGCCCCGCAAGGU
This 627-nucleotide ribosomal RNA is filed under the name Frigoribacterium sp. Ri2Pt_4056. RNAcentral's name for it is "bacterial SSU rRNA". It matches the Rfam family "Bacterial small subunit ribosomal RNA", at positions 387 to 1025 of the family's 1533-position model. Lineage: Bacteria; Bacillati; Actinomycetota; Actinomycetes; Micrococcales; Microbacteriaceae. The record is from RNAcentral.